This 426-nucleotide ribosomal RNA is filed under the name uncultured bacterium. RNAcentral's name for it is "partial 16S ribosomal RNA". It matches the Rfam family "Bacterial small subunit ribosomal RNA", at positions 355 to 774 of the family's 1533-position model. The record is from RNAcentral.
UGGGGAAUAUUGCACAAUGGGCGCAAGCCUGAUGCAGCCAUGCCGCGUGUAUGAAGAAGGCCUUCGGGUUGUAAAGUACUUUCAGCGGGGAGGAAGGUGUUGUGGUUAAUAACCACAGCAAUUGACGUUACCCGCAGAAGAAGCACCGGCUAACUCCGUGCCAGCAGCCGCGGUAAUACGGAGGGUGCAAGCGUUAAUCGGGAUUACUGGGCGUAAAGCGCACGCAGGCGGUCUGUCAAGUCGGAUGUGAAAUCCCCGGGCUCAACCUGGGAACUGCAUCCGAAACUGGCAGGCUUGAGUCUUGUAGAGGGGGGUAGAAUUCCAGGUGUAGCGGUGAAAUGCGUAGAGAUCUGAGGAAUACCGGUGGCGAAGGCGGCCCCCUGGACAAAGACUGACGCUCAGGUGCGAAAGCGUGGGGAGCAAACA